CCAAAUUUCAGUAUUAUAAUGUCUGAUGGUUAAUGUGAUGUCACUGAAUGCAGAUUGAGAAGACUGUACAAAAUCAACUCUCAUGGGCCAAUGCAAGAGAUUUCCAACACAACAGUGCAUAUAGGAUUUUGAAGAUUAUAUUCUCCAAAAAUGGUCAAGAUGAUAUCACCUCUCCCACCAUUCAUUUUAUGAUGUGGCUUUGAUAUUCUCACUGAAGACUAGGAUCCCUUUUAUCCAAGGACUCAUGACUACAGCAGAAGUGUUGCUAUGUGACAUCUGAGGCUAGGUCAUAAAGGAAGUUCAGCUCCUUCUUUGAUCUCUUCAUCUUUUUGCUCUUCAAAUGAGGGAAGCACAUUCUGAAGAAGACUGGGCAGAUACAUGGACAGGCUACAUGCAGGUGUUUUCACCCGCAGCUGAGUUCCCAGUUGAUAGAAUUAACAACACUCAUGUGAGUAAAUGAACCUUUGGAUAAAUCCAGUCCUCAGACAAGUCCACUCUGGCCUUUGGGUGAGAAAAACUAAAAUGGCUUUCUAUAAAGGAAAGAAUACCUGAGUAUGAAAACACAAGAGCAAUAUGGCCGAAAACUUGUAUACUAUAAAGACUUUCCUUGGGAUACAUACAACCCAUUCUGCAGACUACUGCCAAUUGAAGAGUAUGCACACCAGCAUGGAGAAUGGGGAGGCAAAAGGAGAGAAUCUUCAAGCAAACUCCCCCAAGACCCAUAAGAUAUGACCUGAGCCACCCAGGGCUAAUCCUUUCUUCAGCUACCUCCAUUGUGCUGUCUGGAAUAGCUUGUGAUUGCUGAACGUGGAGGAGACAUCUUGAAUAAUGAUUUGGCCUUGGGAACAGAAACAAAGCACCAAGCAAGAAUGUAGAAGAAAUCUAUAGUUUUUGUAUUUUUUCAGCAACAUGCCACCACUUUCUAAUUUUUAUAAAUAUAUCAUGUAAAAAAUGCUAUUUUCCCAAUGUCAUUUCACGCUUUGUGUCACUCAUAUUUAAGCAUAAUUUUAACUACUAUGUAUUCGCUAUCCCUUCCUUCUCCAUUCUAGUAGCAAGUCCUUACUUAUCUACAAGUAAUCCUAACGCUUAACUAGCUUACUCAUUUUUAGAGUGUAUGUUAGCAUUCAUUUGUUCAAAUGCAUAUUUAAUGUUUGCCUGUCAGUUUAUUACGUGACAAGCAAAAGAAAAGUGAAAAGUUCUUUCAUCAUGG
This 1210-nucleotide long non-coding RNA is filed under the name Vulpes vulpes (red fox). RNAcentral describes it as "lncRNA (ENSVVUG00000024194.1)". The record is from RNAcentral. Lineage: Eukaryota; Metazoa; Chordata; Mammalia; Carnivora; Canidae.